GACGAACGCUGGCGGCGUGCCUAAUACAUGCAAGUCGAGCGCACGGACGUGAAGCUUGUUCCUCUGAGGUUAGCGGCGGACGGGUGAGUAACGCGUGGAUAACCUACCUAUGAGCGUGGGACAACAUUUGGAAACCAGUGCUAAUACCGCAUAAAAUCUUUAAACACAUGUUUCAAGUGUGAAAGAUGCACUUGCAUCCCUCUAUAAUGAGACCCCGUUGUCUUUGCCUGUUUGGUAAGGUAACGGCAUACAAAGCCAUCGAUGCGUAGCCAACCUGAAGGGGGGAUCGGCCACACUGGAACUGGGCCACGGUCCAGACUCCUACGGGAGGAGGCAGUAGGGAAUCUUGCGCAAUGAGCGAAGGCCUGACGGAGCAACGCCGCGUGAGGGAUGAAGGUCUUCGGUUCGUAAAACUCUGUUAUUAGGGAGGAACAUAUGUGGAAGUAACUGUGCACAUCUUGACGGUACCUAAUCAGAAAGCCACGGCUAACUACGUG
Molecule: ribosomal RNA, 497 nt
Filed under: uncultured bacterium
Lineage: Bacteria
Description: partial 16S ribosomal RNA
Rfam family: Bacterial small subunit ribosomal RNA
Source: RNAcentral